RNAcentral lists this ribosomal RNA (625 nucleotides) under uncultured eukaryote. RNAcentral describes it as "SSU rRNA". It matches the Rfam family "Eukaryotic small subunit ribosomal RNA", at positions 613 to 1245 of the family's 1831-position model. The record is from RNAcentral.
UUGCAGUUAAAAAGCUCGUAGUUGGAUUUCGGAGUGGGCCAGUUGGUCCGCCGCAAGGUGUGUUACUGACUGGUCUGCUCUUCUUCGCAAAGACUGCGUGUGCUCUUUGUUGAGUGUGCGUAGGAUUUACGACGUUUACUUUGAAAAAAUUAGAGUGUUCAAAGCAGGCUAUUGCUUGAAUACAUGAGCAUGGAAUAAUGGAAUAGGACUUUGGUCCCAUUUUGUUGGUUUCUAGGACCGAAGUAAUGAUUAAGAGGGACAAUUGGGGGCAUCCGUAUUUCGUUGUCAGAGGUGAAAUUCUUGGAUUUACGAAAGACGAACAACUGCGAAAGCACUUGCCAAGAGUGUUUUCAUUAAUCAAGAACGAAAGUUAGAGGAUCGAAGACGAUCAGAUACCGUCCUAGUUCUAACCAUAAACGAUGUCGACUAGGGAUCAGCGGGCGUUAUCGUACGACCCCGUUGGCACCUUACGGGAAACCAAAGUUUCUGGAUUCCGGGGGAAGUAUGGUUGCAAAGCUGAAACUUAAAGGAAUUGACGGAAGGGCACCACCAGGAGUGGAGCCUGUGGCUCAAUUUGACUCAACACGGGAAAACUUACCAGGUCCAGACAUAGUAAGGAUUGACA